RNAcentral lists this ribosomal RNA (433 nucleotides) under uncultured bacterium. RNAcentral's name for it is "partial 16S ribosomal RNA". It matches the Rfam family "Bacterial small subunit ribosomal RNA", at positions 30 to 507 of the family's 1533-position model. The record is from RNAcentral.
AACGAACGCUGGCGGCAUGCCUAACACAUGCAAGUCGAACGAGACCUUCGGGUCUAGUUGCGCACGGGUGCGUAACGCGUGGGAACCUUCCCUUAGGUUCGGAAUAACUCCCCGAAUGGGGUGCUAAUACCGGAUAAUGUCUUCCGUCCAAAGAUUUAUCGCCUUUGGAUGGGCGCGCGUUGUAUUAGCUAGUUGGUAGGGUAAAAGCCUACCAAGGCGACGAUCCAUAGAUGGUCUGAGAGGAUGAUCAGCCACACUGGGACUGAGAAACGGCACAGAAUACAAGGGAAGGGAGGAGUGGAGAAUAUAGGAAAAUGGGGGAAAGAAUGAAGAAGCAAGGACGCGAGAGAGAUGAAGGAGGUAGGGAAGUAAAGCAAUUUUACACGGGAUGAUAAUGACAGUACCGGGAGAAUAAGCUCCGGCUAACUCCGUG